GUAGCUCAGUGGUUUAAAGCAUCUGCUUUGCAUGCAGAAGGUACUGGGUUCAAUCCCCGCCAGCAUCU
This is a non-coding RNA of Podarcis lilfordi (Lilford's wall lizard), 68 nucleotides long. The record is from the annotation of a GenBank genome assembly. Lineage: Eukaryota; Metazoa; Chordata; Lepidosauria; Squamata; Lacertidae.